This 500-nucleotide ribosomal RNA is filed under the name uncultured bacterium. RNAcentral describes it as "partial 16S ribosomal RNA". It matches the Rfam family "Bacterial small subunit ribosomal RNA", at positions 30 to 523 of the family's 1533-position model. The record is from RNAcentral.
AUUGAACGCUGGCGGAAUGCUUUACACAUGCAAGUCGAACGGCAGCACGGACUUCGGUCUGGUGGCGAGUGGCGAACGGGUGAGUAAUGUAUCGGAACGUGCCCAGUCGUGGGGGAUAACGUAGUGAAAAUUACGCUAAUACCGCAUACGAUCUAUGGAUGAAAGCGGGGGAUCGCAAGACCUCGCGCGAUUGGAGCGGCCGAUAUCAGAUUAGGUAGUUGGUGGGGUAAAGGCCCACCAAGCCAACGAUCUGUAGCUGGUCUGAGAGGACGACCAGCCACACGGGAACUGAGACACGGUCCAGACUCCUACGGGAGGCAGCAGUGGGGAAUUUUGGACAAUGGGCGAAAGCCUGAUCCAGCCAUUCCGCGUGCAGGAUGAAGGCCCUCGGGUUGUAAACUGCUUUUGUACAGAACGAAAAGGUUUCUACUAAUACUAGGAGCUCAUGACGGUACUGUAAGAACAAGCACCGGCUAACUACGUGCCAGCAGCCGCCGCGG